CAAAGGGUGAGAUUAUCCAUUUGUCCAUCAUGGUGGUGCUGUCCUUAGGCUGGGGAAGUCGCUCAGAUGACAAGCCAGGCUGAACGGCAGGGACAAUGGCAGGUGUGAGAAUGUGGGCGCUAUUUAACUUGGGCCAGGAGGAAGAGUAGUUGACUGAUGUGCUGCCCUGUGUCAGAGAAUAACGUGGCACCUGCUUUGGAGUAAAAGGUAAGAUGCAGGUGUCAGUGGGAGUGAGAGUAAGGGAGAAAGCCAGACACACUACUAGCUGGAACAGCCUCCUUGGCCAGAGAGUAUGAUCUUGGGCCAGACAAUUCUCUAAGGAAGUCUUAAUAAUUUUUAUGGUGUUUGUAUUUUGAGUAACAAUUUCCUUUUUGUCUGUCUUGGCACUGAGUACUGCUCUUUGUGAAAACACCAGUCUGUCUCAGGUAUGCUAGGGAGAAUACAGAAAAGGGUUCUGGGCAAUAUUUGGUAGUGGGGAGGCAGGAUGCUCCCAGAGCCAAGUGAGGGGGUGGCUACAGUGGAAAUAAGGAUGAGAAGACACCAGAGGAAGGAAGAGAUUUCCUCUGGGACCCUCCCUGACAUCCUUUAUGUUUGGCCCUCAGAAGGUUGGAUGUUCUUUUGCAAAUGUGACUGGACAAUACUUUGAGAUGGUAAUUUACAGACUUUUCUCUUCCCAUAUUUCCCCUCUUUGCCUCCUUCCUUUCAAUCAGAUAGUUGGCAGUCAUCCAUAAUCUCAGGAGAAGACAGCAAACUGGCCAAAAAGCAAAAGCAGAUGGUAAGUUACUUGUUUUGUGCUCUAAAUGCCUAUAUCUUUAGGGACACAAUAGAUUCUGGGUUUGAACAGAAUGUUUGGGAGAGGGAGGAGCUUUCCUCUAAACGUGAAAAAGAUUUUCCUGGGUCACGGUGGGGUAGAAUUAAGGAGGUACAUGGGUGUGAAUGCAGACAGAAGUGGAGGUCCAAAAGGGGCCUUCACCAUGCUUUCCAGUAGAUCCUGGAUGCAGUGAGGCCCCAGGGAGUAAACGGGUGUGUGGGAGGUGCAAGGACAAAUGGUCCCCCCAAAACGUUCACGUUCUAAUUCUCAGAACUGUGUUACCUUAUGUGGCAAAAAGAGACUUUACAGAUGUGAUUACGUGAAAGAUCUUGAGGUGGGGAAGUAUCCUGGAAUACCCAGAUGGACCUGAUGUGAUUCCAACGCCCCUUAUAGGAGGGAGGCUGGAGAGCAGAAUCAGUGAAGGAGUCGUGAUGAUGCUGCCCUGCUGGCUUGAGGGGUUCCAGCCAAGGAGUGCAGGUGGCCUCUAGAGGGUGGGAAAAGCAAGUUAAACGCAUUCUCCUCUAGAGCUUCCAGAAGGAACCAGCUCUACUGACACCUUAAUUUUAGCCCAUAGGACCCAUAAAGGAAGUAAUCGUUCUUGCACACUGGGCUUGGGGGCUGAAAUUCCUACUCUCUACACACCAAUGUUUUCACUUCUGCUUCAGGGGAGGGCAUCCACUGUGGGCCACAUGCUUUAUACAUGCUUGUUCUAGUUCAUCUUCACAACCCAAUGAGGUAAUAUCCCCAUUAUCAAUUUAAUUUAUUCCUGAAAAUGUGCCA
This 1591-nucleotide long non-coding RNA is filed under the name Homo sapiens (human). RNAcentral describes it as "HSALNT0093727". Lineage: Eukaryota; Metazoa; Chordata; Mammalia; Primates; Hominidae. The record is from RNAcentral.